This 77-nucleotide transfer RNA is filed under the name Thermotoga sp. RNAcentral describes it as "tRNA-Cys". It matches the Rfam family "tRNA". From Rfam's summary of the family: Transfer RNA (tRNA) molecules are approximately 80 nucleotides in length. Their secondary structure includes four short double-helical elements and three loops (D, anti-codon, and T loops). Further hydrogen bonds mediate the characteristic L-shaped molecular structure. tRNAs have two regions of fundamental functional importance: the anti-codon, which is responsible for specific mRNA codon recognition, and the 3' end, to which the tRNAs corresponding amino acid is attached (by aminoacyl-tRNA synthetases). tRNAs cope with the degeneracy of the genetic code in two manners: having more than one tRNA (with a specific anti-codon) for a particular amino acid; and 'wobble' base-pairing, i.e. permitting non-standard base-pairing at the 3rd anti-codon position. The record is from RNAcentral. Lineage: Bacteria; Thermotogati; Thermotogota; Thermotogae; Thermotogales; Thermotogaceae. RNAcentral also lists the same sequence under 1 other name.
GGCGGCGUAGCCAAGUGGUCUAAGGCGGGGGUCUGCAAAAUCCCUACUCGUGGGUUCGAAUCCCACCGCCGCCUCCA